CUAAAUGAAGAGGGAACUGCAGGCUAAAGGGGAUGAGGAAGAUGGCAGGAAGUUGUAGUCAUUGUCCCCAGGAGGGAAGAGACACCUCCCUCUUGCUUUCUUCUUUUUAGUGUCCAAAUUCUCUGCUGUAAGCAGACACUGAGCUCACAACCUGGUCUCUGGAUGCUUUCACUCUCUCCUGGCAGAUUGUAUCAGAAUCUGAAUUAUUGGAAGAGCCAACAGGGAGGCCACAAAAUGACCCUCAAGGAGAUCCUAGAGCUAAACUAUCCCAUCCUCUUGCUCAGCAGAGGGCUGUCUCAUCGUCACUGUAAGAAAAGCCAGGUUGGUGAUGAGGGGCAGAGAAGGACCAAAGAAGAACUUAAGAAGGCAAGAAGAAGAGACAGAACUGAGCUCCCCUUGAGCCUUGCCCCAUUGGUCAGCUACUAGAUACAUGUUUUGCAACUCCUAAGAGCUGGACUUUGCCUCAGGGAUGACCUAGCCUGAGCAUCCUGCUGUACUUGAUGACAUACUCACCUACCCCAGGUCUCGUGGAACAGGUGAAGAUGUAUUCUAUCAUGGACAGCAGCAGCUUGAGGCGGCCGGCCGUGUUAUAUCCACAGUCAGGAAGCAGAGAUGGAUGUGUGCUGGUGUCCAGCUUUCUCCCUUUUAUUAAAUUCAGGAUCCCAGAGCUUGAGAUGGAGCUGCCCACAUUCAAGGUCCAGAGUUCUAAUCCCAGCAACCACA
Long non-coding RNA from Mus caroli (Ryukyu mouse), 723 nucleotides. RefSeq lists it as uncharacterized. The record is from RefSeq and is a predicted model, not a curated record. NCBI's taxonomy places the organism in Eukaryota, Metazoa, Chordata, Mammalia, Rodentia, Muridae.